RNAcentral lists this ribosomal RNA (215 nucleotides) under uncultured soil bacterium. RNAcentral's name for it is "partial 16S ribosomal RNA". It matches the Rfam family "Bacterial small subunit ribosomal RNA", at positions 26 to 229 of the family's 1533-position model. The record is from RNAcentral.
AGAGUGAACGCUGGCGGUAGGCCUAACACAUGCAAGUCGAACGGCAGCACGGUAAGAGCUUGCUCUUAUGGGUGGCGAGUGGCGGACGGGUGGAGGAAUACAUCGGAAUCUACCUUUUGGUGGGGGAUAACGUAGGGAAACUUACGCUAAUACCGCAUAACGCCCUUCGGGGGAAAGGACCGGGGACCAGCAAUGGCCUGGCGCUGAUAGAUGAG